CUUGAUACACACAGGAAACUGUUGUGUAUAAAAAAAACAGCAGUGUUGCAGUUCUUGACUCAAACCGGAGUGCCUGGCACCUACUACCAUACCCCGUUCAAAGGCACUUACAUUUUUUUGUCUUGCCAUUUUGUCCUCUGCAUGGCACACAUACAAAGUCUCAUUGAUUUUGAAAUGGAUUUAACAAGUGACAUCAAUAAGGGAUCUUAGCUUUCCUGUCCUACAGUAUCUUAUCCAACCCCCCUUCCCUUUCCUGUCCUAUAGUAUCUUAUCCAACCCCCCUUCCCUUUCCUGUCCUACAGUAUCUUAUCCAACCCCCCUUCCCUUUCCUGUCCUACAGUAUCUUAUCCAACCCCCCUUCCCUUUCCUGUCCUACAGUAUCUUAUCCAACCCCCCUUCCCUUUCCUGUCCUACAGCAUCUUAUCCAACCCCACUUCCCUUUCCUGUCCUACAGCAUCUUAUCCAACCCCCCUUCCCUUUCCUGUCCUACAGCAUCUUAUCCAACACCCCUUCCCUUUCCUGUCCUACAGUAUCUUAUCCAACCCCACUUCCCUUUCCUGUCCUACAGCAUCUUAUCCAACCCCCCUUCCCUCCUGUCCUACAGCAUCUUAUCGAACCCCCUUCCCUUUCCUGUCCUACAGCAUCUUAUCCAACCCUACCUCUCCUGGCCUACAGCAUCUUAUCCAACUCCCCCUUUCCUGUCCUACAGCAUCUUAUCCAACCCCCUUCCCUUUCCUGUCCUACAGCAUCUUAUCCACCCCCCCCCACUCCUGUCCUACAGCAUCUUAUCCAACUCCCCCUUUCCUGUCCUACAGCAUCUUAUCCAACCCCCUUCCCUUUCCUGUCCUACAGCAUCUUAUCCAACCCCCCUUCCCUUUCCUGUCCUACAGCAACUUAUCCAACCCCCCUUCCCUUUCAUGUCCUACAGCAUCUUAUCCAACUCCCCUUUCCUGUCCUACAGCAUCUUAUCCAACUCCCCUUUCCUGUCCUACAGCAUCUUAUCCAACUCCCCUUUCCUGUCCUACAGCAUCUUAUCCAACUCCCCUUUCCUGUCCUACAGCAUCUUAUCCAACUCCCCUUUCCUGUCCUACAGCAUCUUAUCCAACUCCCCUUUCCUGUCCUACAGCAUCUUAUCCAACACCACUUCCCAUUCCUUUCCUAUACCGUCUUAUUCAAACCCCCCCUUCUCAUUCAAAUCAAGUUUUAUU
RNAcentral lists this long non-coding RNA (1208 nucleotides) under Salmo trutta (river trout). RNAcentral's name for it is "lncRNA (ENSSTUG00000047117.1)". The record is from RNAcentral. Lineage: Eukaryota; Metazoa; Chordata; Actinopteri; Salmoniformes; Salmonidae.